AAAGAAAAAAAAAACCUAAGUCGCUAUACCACCGUGAACUCGUCGCCGGCCACAAUCUCUACCUUCGUCGGCGUCAAUUUCUUGCUAAUAGCUGGGUCUUUCGACCUAGAUCUCGUUUCACGGUAUCUUUCAAGCUAGUUCUUCUUCCGCCUUAGACUCGUUCAACAUUGUUCUUCGUCAAUUUCAGGAGGACGAGCCACAGUAAAGGUUUCAAGCAGUAGAGAUAGUCAUCAAGAGAUCAACUGCUGUAAAGCUUUUUGUUUAAGGUACAACAUUGGAGUAUUCAAGAUCUUUUGGUUGAAAGGGUCGUCGUGAGAUCACAAUAAUCAGGCUAAUAAACAUACUACAAGUAAGUUCUCUCUAUCUAAUUUUAGUAUAUAUGUUUUAAGCUCUUUGUUUGUGAUUGUUUUGAUUGUUUUCUGGAUACAUAUAUGUGAAAAAUUCUUUAGCUAGUUUAGUCCUUUUAAAUUUUUAUACGAUUGCUUAUUGUUUUGUUGAUAUAUAUUAAAUAUUUCUUGUUUGAUUUUACUUAAGAGUUUAGUUUGAUACGUUAACUUUAAUUGUCUAGUUUUGUCAGAUUGAGUUUAGAUUUAUGCUAUUGCUUUCAUUGUUUGUGGAUACAUAUUAAAUGUUCUCUGUUUGUUGUUACUUCUG
Long non-coding RNA from Capsella rubella, 654 nucleotides. RefSeq lists it as uncharacterized. The record is from RefSeq and is a predicted model, not a curated record. Lineage: Eukaryota; Viridiplantae; Streptophyta; Magnoliopsida; Brassicales; Brassicaceae. The transcript is spliced from 4 exons.